This 74-nucleotide transfer RNA is filed under the name Paludibacter sp. RNAcentral's name for it is "tRNA-OTHER". It matches the Rfam family "tRNA". From Rfam's summary of the family: Transfer RNA (tRNA) molecules are approximately 80 nucleotides in length. Their secondary structure includes four short double-helical elements and three loops (D, anti-codon, and T loops). Lineage: Bacteria; Pseudomonadati; Bacteroidota; Bacteroidia; Bacteroidales; Paludibacteraceae. The record is from RNAcentral.
AAGCACUUAGCUCAGCUGGUUCAGAGCACUCCGAUACAUCGGAGGGGUCGGGGGUUCGAAUCCCUCAGCGCCCA